UAUUCUUUUUAUGUAUGUAUAUAAAAGACUAUAAUCUAUCUAUUAUUAUAAAACACUGUUUUCUCUCCUGUGAGAACGUCACCUAGGAUUUCACCUAGGAAAGUCGAGUCCUGGCGUUGCAACACGUGUCCGGGCUGAUAGAGCACUGCGUUUCAUUUAAGUUAGAGUGAUAUUCAUGCGGGCUUUGCUACUUCAUGGUUUAUUGGGCUACGAAAAAUAAUAAAAAAUCUAGCCCAGUUGCCGAGCUCUCCUUCUUCUACAAUGGCCGCUUACAGAUUCGUAGGUUUCCCGUCUUCUUCUUCUUUAUGUAAUCCGAGCAACCGACGGUGUAGAUUCUGGAUGCAGCCGUUACGGAAAAUGCAUUGAUGCGAUGCCAUUGACGACAUUCUUAACUCCUUAGCCCCACACCAUCCACGAUAAAUCAUUCAUUGCAUCUUAACUCUCAUCAAGGCGGUGGAACUUGAUCUAUAAGAAGGUAAACUUUCUUUGCGUAAAACUCAUCUCACAACUCCUACAGCACUACAAAUUUCUGAAAAACUUCUUUCUCUCCAUCAUCCAUAACAUUUACUCUUCACCGCAACAAAACUGGCGAACCCUAACCUCCCCAUCGUUUGCGGAGGACUGUAAUGACCGGACUCUUGCCGUCGUGUCUGGAUUGCAUAGAGUUUGAGAUAUGCGGAGCAUAGACGUGGCCGUGUUACUGACUCAGGAAACAAAGGAAGAGUAACGGCAACGGGAGUCCAGCAGACUAAAAGAUGCACUCUUAGAGAGGCGGAGGCCGAGGACAAUAUCAGCUGCGAGAAUUUUGAAAUAUCCAAAAGUAAACCUUCAAGAGAAUCAGUUAGAAAAGUAGUUCGUGAACAAGAGAAGGAAGUUAUGUUAUUUGAUAAUGAUAGUGGUGGCUCUUACAAGGCGGCUGCACAUGAAAAAGAUGGAGAUAAUGCUCUUUUCCCUGAAAGUGAUGACAACAGUUCAACAUGGUACGAGAACGAACUACUAUGGGCACCUUCGUCGCCAAAAUAACUGAAGAUCGGUAUUGUUCUCUCCAAAGGUGAAGUACCUGGUGGGUGCACACUGUCAUACAUGAACCAUUCGUGUUGUGUGCAGGUUGAUGUUGUCCUAAGAUUAUCAUCUCUAAGUUUUCUUGAUGUUGUAUAAAAGACAUGCAUUGAGAGCUGAAGAAGCAUCUCAUCACUGCUAGAUAUAUUGAUGAUGAAAUAUCCAUGUUACAUGAGAUGGCUAAGAAUGCUUGGAUAACGGUUCUUAGUGAAGCAACAUCCCACAAUAGUGUGAAUCUCACUUAGCCUUUAGUUUGAAUCUCAACCCUCUUAAUAGUGUGUGUCAGAGGAAAAAUGUGUGUUACCCUAUA
Molecule: long non-coding RNA, 1369 nt
Organism: Brassica napus (rape)
Lineage: Eukaryota; Viridiplantae; Streptophyta; Magnoliopsida; Brassicales; Brassicaceae
Exons: 4
Source: RefSeq, a predicted model, not a curated record